GCCUCUGCACUGGGAUUCCUCCAGCCCCAGCAAGUCCCUCAGGUGGUCCCAGCCUCUGUGUCCGCCUCUGCUCUCCCAGAGCGCCUCAGGCAGAGCAGCCAGGAUGGGGACCAGGCCCGCCUUACCGGGAAUGAGCCUGUCACCUGCUCCUCCCACCCCGCAGCAGAUCAUGCAACCAGCAAGGCUCUGGUCCAAGUAGGAACGGAUGGUAAACUGGGCAGUGAUGAUGGUGGAGAUGGUGGUGGUGGUGAUGAUGAUGACAAUGAUAAUGAUGAUGGUGAUGGCAGUGGUGGUAGUGGUGAUGGUGCUGGUGGUGCUGGUGAUAUGAUGAUGGCAGUGAUGGUAGUGAUAAUAGUGAUGAUAAUGUGAUGGUAGUGAUGGUGGUGGCAGUAAUAGUGAUGGUGAUGGUGGCAGAGAGGGUGGUGACAGUGAUGUCAGUGGUAAUGGUGGUGGUGAUGGUAAUGGUGAUGGUGGUGGUGGUGAUGAUGGUGGUGAUAGUGGUAGUGAUGGUGUGGUGGAAAUGAUGGCUGUGAUCGUGAUGAUGAUGGUAGUGAUGGUUACAAUGAUAGUGGUGGUAGUGGUGGUGAUGGCAAUGAUGGUAUUGAUGGUGAUGGUGGUGGUGGUGGUAGUGAUGGUGGUGGUGGUAGAUGGUGGCAGUGAAGACGGUGGUAAUGGUAGAUGGUGGCAGUGAAGAUGGUGGUAAUGAUGGUAAUGGUGAUAGUGGUGCUGGUGGUGAUGGUGAUGGUGGUGGUGGUGGUAGUGAUGGUGAUGAUGAUGGUGAUAGUGAUGGUGGUGGUGGUGGUGGUGCUGUUAGUGGUGGUGGUGGUGUUGCUGGUGGUGUUGGUGAUGGUGGUGGUGGUGGUGGUGAUGGUCAUGGUGGUGGUGGUGGUGGUGGUGGUGAUGGUGGUGGUGGUGGUGGUCAUGGUGAUGGUGGUGAUAGAGCCAAGAGGCUCUUGGGACCAUAUGGCUGGGACUGAAGGCAGUGUAGACACAGCUGACCCUUCAUGAGGGCUCUGCCUGGCUCUAGUAGCUUCUAUCCUGAAAGCCUGGUGAGUGUCUGAAGGAUGGUCCCCUUGUUAAGUGAGGGCAGGCUUGUGGAUUUCAGGGGCCCCAGAGGCCUGGGAGGACAUUUAGUGGGGGCGGGGUCCUCACCAAAGACUCAAUGGGCUCUGGAGUUCCUGUGUCUCCUGAGACCUGCGCCUGACGUCACCCUCUGGAUGGCCUCUGGCCUCUACCUGGGCUGGGGUGUCCCAGGAACAGAGAAGGACCCAACUAUUGUUGGGGACCCCAGCACUCUCUGUCCAACCGAGCCUGGGGCCUGGGUGGCAAAUGUGGGCAUUGCGAGAGUGGCAGGACUGGGAGGAGGCCCAAGCCCUGGGUAGGGCCUGGGGGGUGCCAGGUCCACACCUCCGAGGUGGUGAGUGGUGCAGACAGCUGGUGCCUGUGGGUCCCUAACAAAUGCAGCUGAGAAGUGGGCCCUCAGAUGUCCACGUGGCAUAACCCUGCUGUGACUGAAGCCGCCAGCCUGGAUUGAACAUUCUUCAAGAUUUCUGCCUUCAUUUAACAAGCUCCACUAGACGUGGCCUCUGGAGCACAGGUCUCUCCCAAACAUCACCAAAAUGACCGAAGAGGAAGAGGGAGGUGCCGUUUGCAGGAAAGAGAGAACGGGAGUGGAGCAGCAGCCACCAGUGAGGGAAGAGGUGGCAAAGUGCUCCAUGGCUGGGGUGCCUAUCUUGGCAGAGUGGAGCAGAUGGUGAGCCAGACGUUCAGCUGGGCCCGGGUGGGCAUCCGUCAGAGCCAUUAGGCCCCUCGCUGUGGCCUCUCCCAGCCACAGGGGACCCUGGGGAAACUGGGCCUGGGACCAGGCUCACUGGAGGGUGGGUAUGAGGCUCUCACUGAAGAUAGGGGAUUGAGUGGCCAUCACAAACCAAGCUCAGCCGCCUGCCCCUCCUUCUCUUAGCAAUGACACCAGCAGCCCAUAGUCCCCAGGCAGGAGAGCAGAGGAGCCUUCCUUGAAAAACUCAAUGGCCAGAGGAAAAAGACCAGCCUCUCAAAAUGAUAGAUUCCCCAUUGCCUGGUCCUCUACAGAAAGGCCCAUCUGCCGACAAGACCACUGCCACCCUCUGCCACCCUCCACCACCCUCCGCCAGGUCACCAGAAUGCCAGGCCUCACUCAUGAUCAGCUGAGCACCAGCAGGCAGGUGAGAAGAGCCUCCAGUGUGGAGCAGGUCAACCAGCAACAGAGCCAGGGAGACCCAUGGAGUCCAGAGAAAACGGUAACAACGGCAGCAGCACCCAGAGACUGGCUCCCAGUGAGUUAAGCCCAGCCGCGACCCUUGGAUGUGCCAGCUGAUUUAAUACUCAUGAUAAACCCAGUAGGUCAGUGCCAGUAUUAUGAGAGAAGUGAGGCACAGAAUGUCACAUCCACCUCCCCAAAGUCAACAGCUAGGAGUGACAGAGCCAGGAUUCUGCCAGGCAGGUUGGCCUCAGAGGCCACACUUCUUAUCCCAAUAAUAAAAGUGAACAAGAACAGGAUGAAGUUAGAGUGAGAGAGCGAGAGUGGUAACACUCAUGCAAUCAGAGAACAAGAGAAAGCUCAAUGGAAACAUGUAUUCACUGACAGGAUUAAAACACAAAACAACAAAAAGAGAGACGGCCAGGCGCGGUGGCUCACGCCUGUAAUCCCAGCACUUUGGGAGGCCAAGGCAGGCAGAUCCCCUGAGCUCAGGAGUUUGAGACCAGCCUGGGCAACAUGGUGAAACCCUGACUCUACUAAAAAUACAAAAAUUAGCUGGGCAUGGUGGGGCAUGCUUGUACUCGGGAGGCUGAGGUGGGAGGAUCACUUGAACCCGGGAGGCAGAGGUUGCAGUGAGUCCAGAUCGCACCACUGCACUCUAGCCUAGGUGAUAGAGUGAGAUCCUAUCUAAAAAAAAAAAAAAAAAAAAAUAGAAGGCAGGAAGGAAAUAUCAGAAAAAUGCAGAAUUGAUCCAGGAGGUCCAAGUUCCAAAAGGAGUCAGAAAGAGAAAGGAGAGAAAAAGGUGGGGGAUCAAUGAUCAAAGAACUAAACUGAGACCAGCGCCCAGAAUGACAAGGCACAGGCCAGACAGCAAGGCUCACCCAAGUCCAGCACAAUGCAAGUGACACGUGUGCAUCACUGUGGAAUUGUAGACCACUGGUGCCAAGGAGUGCCCCAAAAAACUUCCAGAGGGGGAAAAAAUAGUCACAUAUGUCUCUCUCUCUCUUUUUUUUUUAAGGAUAAAGGGAAUUCUUUUUUUUUUUUUUGAGUCAGGGUCUUGCUGUGUUGCCCAGGCUGCAGUGCAGUGGUGUCAUCAUAGCUCACUGCAGCCUCUAACUCCUGGGCUCAAGCGAUCCUCCAACCUCAGCCUCCUGGGUAGCUGGGACUACAAGCAAGCACCACCAUGCCCAGUUAAUUUUUUAAUUUUUUUUGUAUGGAUGGGGGUCUCACUAUGUUGCCCAGGCUGCAGCAGGUUGGUCUCAAACUCCCGGACCCAAGUGAUACUCCCACCUGGGCCUCCAAAAGAGCUGGGAAUACAGGCCUGAGCCAUCAUGCCCAGCCACAUACUGUCUCAUAAAAAGGCAAAGCAACCCCCAAAUGCAGAAGGAGCUGAGAAACCAAAGGAGGAGGCAGACAAAUUCAGCUUGUUGUUAAAGUGUGUUUUAUGGGGGAUCUUAUGAACAGAAGAGUGGUCUUGGACAGCCACAAGACAUAUAGAUCUCCACACCAUAAUUCCCCAGACCCAGAGGUUAUAUACCAUAGGGAAAGGGUACAUGUGCUUCAGAGGGAAUGGGGAGGAAUUUGAUCUAAAGGCAGGACUUACAGUAUAUGCUCUUAUGCAAGAAACAACAGAUAAACUGAAAAUCUCAGAGGCAUUCCUGGAACCAGUGUUAGUCAGAAGUCAGCAUGGUGGAUUAGCUUCCAUGGUAUGUUACUUUAGCCUCCACACAUACCAAGGAUUAGUAGUAAAGAUGGAACUGGACUUCCAGUAACCACACAGAAGCUCAAAGACAGAGUACCUUACAGAUGCUGAGGAAAAGAGACUCCCAACAGCAAAUUCUAUACCCAGCCAAACUAUCUGUCUAGUGUGAGGAAAUACUAAUGACACUGUUAGAUUUGUUAAAUCUCAAAACACUUAUCUCCCAUGCAUCUCUUCUGAAGAAGUAUCUGAAGGAUGCUCCCCUACAAGGAGAAGUCAACCAAGAAAGAGAAGGGGGUGCCAACACAGGUGAGGCAGGAGGGGCCAGCAGGCCUGGAGAGCAGCCAGUCCAGCUGUGGCAGGAAACUGGUUGGCUCCUGCUGAAAGGUAUCCAGGGAAAAUGGCCUUCCUAGAUUACACAAUGCAAGUUUCUGUGUGGAAGCCAUGUCACGAGAGAUUUCUAAAAUGAUUAGAGCAUUUAGGAAGAAUUUGUUGUUGACACAUAGAAAACCAAACAAAGGAAAACCAGGAGGCAAUUUUUAACUCCAGGAAAAACAAAGAAGUUGCUCAGGAAAGAGCAUUUAAUUAUAGUAUAUAACGUUGUUCAGGCAAGAACAAUUCUUAUGUAGUCAUGAUAAUUUAAAUAUGGAAUAUUUUUAAGCUAAAAGUAUUGUGGGGUUUUGUUGUUGUUGUUGUUUUGUUGUUGAGACGGAGUCUCACUCUGUCGCCCAGGCUGGAGUGCAGUGGUGUGAUCUCAGCUCACUGCAAGCUCCACCUCCUGGGUUCACGCCAUUCUCCUGCCUCAGCCUCCUGAGUAGCUGGGACUACAGGCGCAAGCCACCACGCCCGGCUAAUUUUUUGUAUUUUUAGUAGAGACGGGGUUUCACCAUUUUAGCCAGGAUGGUCUCGAUCUCCUGACCUCGUGAUCUGCCCGCCUCAGCCUUUUUUGUUGUUGUUGUUGUUUUUUGGAGACAAGGUCUCACUCUGUCACCCAGGCUGGAGUGCAGUGGUGUGAUCACAGCUCACUGCAUCCUAGACCUCCCAGGCUCAGGCAAUCCUCCCACCUCAGCCUCAUUUGUAGCUGGGACUACAGGUGCAUGCCACCAUGCCCAGCUAAUUUUUUGUAGUUUUGGUAGAAAUGGGGUUUCAUCACAUGGCCCAGGCUAGUCUUAAACUCCUGGGCUCCAGCAAUCUGCUUGCCUUGGCCUCCCAAAGUGCUGGGAUUACAGGCAUGAGCUGCUGCACCCGGCCUAAACUAAAAAUGUUCACAUAGUAUAUAGGGAGGAUGUGGGGCGGGGAAGAGCAAAUGUGUAAUGGAGUGAAAUCCUAAACAAUGCCUAAAAUUAAUAAAUCAAGAAAUAGUAAUAUAAACAUUUUAUUUAGAGAUUUGGAGGUGUACUAGUCUGUUCUCGCACUGUAAUAAAUUACCAAGACUGGGUAAUUUAUAAAGAAAAAGAGGUUUAAUGGACUCACAGUUCCACAUGGCUGGGGAGGCCUCAUAAUCAUGGCGGAAAGUGAAGGAGGAGCAAAGGCGCGUCUUACAUGGUGGCAGGCAAGAGAGCGUGUGCAGGAGAACCGCCUUUUAUAAAACCAUCAGAUCUUGAGAGACUUAUUCACUAUCACGAGAACAGCACAGGAAAAACUCACCCCCAUGAUUCAAUUACCUCCCACUGGGUCCCUCCCAUGACACAUGGGGAUUAUGGGAGCUGCAAUUCAAGAUGAAUUAGGGUGGGGACACAGCCGAAACAUAUCAGGAGGUUCCUGGAAGAAACAGAGUUGAAAGCAGUUAUCUUGCUGAGUGGGGGACUCAGGGCAUGGGCAGGAGACUGCUGAGUUUUGUUUUACGUCUUACUACAUUUGAUUUAUAAAAGACAGAUGUGCAUAUAUCACUUCAAAAAAACAAAAGUGGAUGUGGCUGAUGCCAAAGUGACCUGCCCCAGAAGAGCUGCUAACAGAACAGCAUCCCAGGAGGCUGCAGAAGGCUGAAGAGCAGAGCCCACACCUGCUAUGGGCCACAAGAGGCCCUGGAUGCCAUGGAGGCCGCAAGGGCCCAGGCGGGACUUGCAGAAUGAGAGUCCUAGGCCCAAGUAUAGAGUCCCUGGUGGGCACAGAGGAGAGACCAGGUCAGUGGGAGGGGUUGUCAGACCCUGUGGAGUGCCCCACCUGUGUGCCAGGCCCAGAACUGGGCUCAACUCUGAUGGUAGCAGGUGGAAAGUAGACUUCACUACUGUGGGAGUGGGGGCAUUCCUGGACACAGGGGGAAACCAGCUCACAGAACAGCCUGGGGUCUUCUUGGAGGAGGCCAUUUUGGCCCAGAUCCUAAAGGAAGACUGGAAGCCUCAGGGGGCAGUGAGAACAGGGACAAGAGAGGGCAGGUCUCAGGACUGACUGAGCAACUCAGACUGACCUGGAUCAAACUGUGGAGCCGGCGAAGGGUUUAGAGGGUUGCUGCAGGACAGUGGUGUCUGCAAAGACGCCUCUGGCUGCUGUCUGGAAAAUAGACAGGGGAGGCUGGGCAGGGGUCUGGGCAGGGGCUGGACAGGGGUGCUGGGCAGGGGCUGGACAGGGGUGCUGGGCAGGGGCUGGACAGGGGUGCUGGGCAGGGGCUGGACAGGGGUGCUGGGCAGGGUCAGUCCAUCUCCAUCCUGCUUUCCUUUUCUUUCUUUUCAACAAAUAUUGAUGGAGCACCUCCUCGGUGCCAGGCGCUGCUGCAGCCUCUAGGAAAUCAACCGUGGAAACACACGGACCCUGCCCUCCCGGCGCCAGUGUUCUGGUGGUCAGGAGGUGAAGAAAACCAGCAAGAACCAGCACAGGAAUCCGACGGUGGCAGCGCCGAGAGAAACAAGCUUGGAGGGGAAGGAGAGCUACAGAGGCUGCAUGGAUGUGAUGGUUGGAGUGGAAGCUGACAUUGUGGGCCAGGAGACCCUGGGAGUACAGGCCAAGAUGAAAAGAGCCUCAAUCCAGAGCGUUCUGUGAAGCAGUCACCACGGCCACCCUGGGCCAUCAGCUUCUGGACUUUUACAACAUAGAAAUUAAAUUUCCAUUGAAUUUGUUGGAGUCAUUGUUCCUUCAGCUCUCUGUUACCUGCACUUACAUCUCUCUGUGAGUCGCGGAGUCUUGCAGUUAAGGUAUUAAUAUUAUUGCGUCUCAAGGUGCCUCAGGUCAGAGGUUCCAAAGGUGAAUGAGGGCACAGCUCUCCGUCUGAGACUCACGGUGGAGAAGCCUCCUCACCUUGCUCCUUCUCCCUGUCACCAAGAAAGGAGGUCUGGGGGAAGGAAGGGGUCCGUGUGGCCCUCCCGCCCCCACACUGUCCCUCUUGGAUUCUGCUAGCCUGUGGGUGUGGGCAGCAGCUCAGCCUGGCCCUGGAAUUUUCCAUAAAG
This 7315-nucleotide long non-coding RNA is filed under the name Homo sapiens (human). RNAcentral describes it as "non-protein coding MAFA-AS1:6". The record is from RNAcentral. Lineage: Eukaryota; Metazoa; Chordata; Mammalia; Primates; Hominidae.